This is a long non-coding RNA of Cotesia glomerata, 1210 nucleotides long. RefSeq lists it as uncharacterized. The transcript has 4 exons. The record is from RefSeq and is a predicted model, not a curated record. Lineage: Eukaryota; Metazoa; Arthropoda; Insecta; Hymenoptera; Braconidae.
AGAAGAAAUUAUUGAUGAAAAACAUUAUUAUAUACACUGAUGAAAAAAAUUAACUUGAAUAUAAUUAAAGUAAGAAUUUAUUGAAGAUGCGGGCGUCGAUGGUGAAGACUAAACUGGUGUUAUCACAAAAGUAAUAGCAAGUGGUUGGACUUGUAUUAUUUACACUUACACUUAAACUUACUCCGGCUGACUGACGUGACUCGACAAGUAGAGAGUCAAAAGUCUAUCGUACGAUGCAAUGUAAAGAGCGGUAUAAUGAUAAUAUUGAGUAGAGGCAAAUUGUAAGUGUACGAAUAGACUUAUAAGACAUAACAGAGCAUCCACGUAUAAGUAUUGAACUUACUUGAUGAGUGGUGGGCUCGACAUAAGUGGGGAGUCUUUGACCACUGCUGGCCGGGACGUUGAUGAUGCUCUCCCGAUGGUGCGUUAGGCCAGAUACUGAACUCCAUCUUCGUCCGGUCGUCGUACUUGUUUCCAUCAUUGAAUUCUGCUGACGACAAACAAUUCAUGGUCACUUGUUCAUUUUAUUCAUUUUAUGUACACUUACUCACUACUGUAUAUGUUAUAUAUCUAAGCAAUACAUUAUUUAUCUAUUGUAUUCUGGUACCGUGGAUAAAUCACGUUUAGUUAUUGUCAAGGAAUUAUUUAAAUUACCAGUCUAAUGAGUAAUAGCUGGGUGAUCAAUUGUUGGGUAUUCUGAUGACAGGAUCUAUCUUGUAUUGUAGUUUUGCAAACCUGAUUUCUGAUGUGUCAUUUUUUCAAAAGAAAGAGGUCAAGAGUUUCGAGUUAGGAUGUAUAAAUUACUCCCCGGAAAUGUUUGAUGAUUAGAUACCGUGCGUGAUUAACCCGACGUUGAUUGAGCAAGGUGAAGGGUUGAAGCGGCACUGGAACGUGUCAGUAAAUUUAAUUGCAAUCUUUAAAAACAUGUCAUGUCAGUAAUAAGCAGUAGGCAUCAGUAAACGUACUUAUGCGCAAACAUUGAAAACUGAGAGCAGAGGCUUGACUUGUCUCUAGAGAUUAAGGCGAGGGUGUAAUGUGACAAGCCAAAGUGAAAGAUAAUACUCUCGAGUGGUGUAUGCUCCCGAGUGUGUACAUACAUUUAUGUAUAUUAAAUUUAUACAACCGAGUAAACUACCUUUCGUGCGAGCUUCCAAGGUCAAGCUUUAUACUUGCAGAUCAACUCCUUAAAUUAAUGCAAAAUCUCCUUUUA